AAGGUUAAGCCUCACGGUUCAUUAGUACCGGUUAGCUCAACGCAUCGCUGCGCUUACACACCCGGCCUAUCAACGUCGUCGUCUUCAACGUUCCUUCAGGACUCUCAGGGAGUCAGGGAGAACUCAUCUCGGGGCAAGUUUCGUGCUUAGAUGCUUUCAGCACUUAUCUCUUCCGCAUUUAGCUACCGGGCAGUGCCAUUGGCAUGACAACCCGAACACCAGUGAUGCGUCCACUCCGGUCCUCUCGUACUAGGAGCAGCCCCCCUCAGUUCUCCAGCGCCCACGGCAGAUAGGGACCGAACUGUCUCACGACGUUCUAAACCCAGCUCGCGUACCACUUUAAAUGGCGAACAGCCAUACCCUUGGGACCUACUUCAGCCCCAGGAUGUGAUGAGCCGACAUCGAGGUGCCAAACACCGCCGUCGAUAUGAACUCUUGGGCGGUAUCAGCCUGUUAUCCCCGGAGUACCUUUUAUCCGUUGAGCGAUGGCCCUUCCAUUCAGAACCACCGGAUCACUAUGACCUGCUUUCGCACCUGCUCGCGCCGUCACGCUCGCAGUCAAGCUGGCUUAUGCCAUUGCACUAACCUCCUGAUGUCCGACCAGGAUUAGCCAACCUUCGUGCUCCUCCGUUACUCUUUAGGAGGAGACCGCCCCAGUCAAACUACCCACCAGACACUGUCCGCAACCCCGAUUAGGGGCCAACGUUAGAACAUCAAACAUUAAAGGGUGGUAUUUCAAGGUCGGCUCCAUGCAGACUGGCGUCCACACUUCAAAGCCUCCCACCUAUCCUACACAUCAAGGCUCAAUGUUCAGUGUCAAGCUAUAGUAAAGGUUCACGGGGUCUUUCCGUCUUGCCGCGGGUACACUGCAUCUUCACAGCGAGUUCAAUUUCACUGAGUCUCGGGUGGAGACAGCCUGGCCAUCAUUACGCCAUUCGUGCAGGUCGGAACUUACCCGACAAGGAAUUUCGCUACCUUAGGACCGUUAUAGUUACGGCCGCCGUUUACCGGGGCUUCGAUCAAGAGCUUCGCGUUACCGCUAACCCCAUCAAUUAACCUUCCGGCACCGGGCAGGCGUCACACCGUAUACGUCCACUUUCGUGUUUGCACAGUGCUGUGUUUUUAAUAAACAGUUGCAGCCAGCUGGUAUCUUCGACUGAUUUCAGCUCCACGAGCAAGUCGCUUCACCUACAUAUCAGCGUGCCUUCUCCCGAAGUUACGGCACCAUUUUGCCUAGUUCCUUCACCCGAGUUCUCUCAAGCGCCUUGGUAUUCUCUACCUGACCACCUGUGUCGGUUUGGGGUACGAUUUGAUGUUACCUGAUGCUUAGAGGCUUUUCCUGGAAGCAGGGCAUUUGUUGCUUCAGCACCGUAGUGCCUCGUCAUCACGCCUCAGCCUUGAUUUUCCGGAUUUGCCUGGAAAACCAGCCUACACGCUUAAACCGGGACAACCGUCGCCCGGCCAACAUAGCCUUCUCCGUCCCCCCUUCGCAGUAACACCAAGUACAGGAAUAUUAACCUGUUUCCCAUCGACUACGCCUUUCGGCCUCGCCUUAGGGGUCGACUCACCCUGCCCCGAUUAACGUUGGACAGGAACCCUUGGUCUUCCGGCGAGCGGGCUUUUCACCCGCUUUAUCGUUACUUAUGUCAGCAUUCGCACUUCUGAUACCUCCAGCAUCCUCACAGCACACCUUCGCAGGCUUACAGAACGCUCCCCUACCCAACAACACAUAGUGUCGCUGCCGCAGCUUCGGUGCAUGGUUUAGCCCCGUUACAUCUUCCGCGCAGGCCGACUCGACCAGUGAGCUAUUACGCUUUCUUUAAAUGAUGGCUGCUUCUAAGCCAACAUCCUGGCUGUCUGGGCCUUCCCACAUCGUUUCCCACUUAACCAUGACUUUGGGACCUUAGCUGGCGGUCUGGGUUGUUUCCCUCUUCACGACGGACGUUAGCACCCGCCGUGUGUCUCCCGUGAUAACAUUCUCCGGUAUUCGCAGUUUGCAUCGGGUUGGUAAGUCGGGAUGACCCCCUUGCCGAAACAGUGCUCUACCCCCGGAGAUGAAUUCACGAGGCGCUACCUAAAUAGCUUUCGGGGAGAACCAGCUAUCUCCCGGUUUGAUUGGCCUUUCACCCCCAGCCACAAGUCAUCCGCUAAUUUUUCAACAUUAGUCGGUUCGGUCCUCCAGUUAGUGUUACCCAACCUUCAACCUGCCCAUGGCUAGAUCACCGGGUUUCGGGUCUAUACCCUGCAACUUAACGCCCAGUUAAGACUCGGUUUCCCUUCGGCUCCCCUAUUCGGUUAACCUUGCUACAGAAUAUAAGUCGCUGACCCAUUAUACAAAAGGUACGCAGUCACCCCAUAAAGAGGCUCCCACUGCUUGUACGUACACGGUUUCAGGUUCUUUUUCACUCCCCUCGCCGGGGUUCUUUUCGCCUUUCCCUCACGGUACUGGUUCACUAUCGGUCAGUCAGGAGUAUUUAGCCUUGGAGGAUGGUCCCCCCAUAUUCAGACAGGAUACCACGUGUCCCGCCCUACUCAUCGAGCUCACAGCAUGUGCAUUUUUGUGUACGGGGCUGUCACCCUGUAUCGCGCGCCUUUCCAGACGCUUCCACUAACACACACACUGAUUCAGGCUCUGGGCUGCUCCCCGUUCGCUCGCCGCUACUGGGGGAAUCUCGGUUGAUUUCUUUUCCUCGGGGUACUUAGAUGUUUCAGUUCCCCCGGUUCGCCUCAUUAACCUAUGGAUUCAGUUAAUGAUAGUGUGACGAAUCACACUGGGUUUCCCCAUUCGGAAAUCGCCGGUUAUAACGGUUCAUAUCACCUUACCGACGCUUAUCGCAGAUUAGCACGUCCUUCAUCGCCUCUGACUGCCAGGGCAUCCACCGUGUACGCUUAGUCGCUUAA
Molecule: ribosomal RNA, 2901 nt
Filed under: Escherichia coli STEC_C165-02
Lineage: Bacteria; Pseudomonadati; Pseudomonadota; Gammaproteobacteria; Enterobacterales; Enterobacteriaceae
Description: 23S ribosomal RNA
Source: RNAcentral